AACGAACGCUGGCGGCGCGCCUAACACAUGCAAGUCGAACGAGAAGGCGUAGCAAUACGCUUGUAGAGUGGCGAACGGGUGAGUAAUACGUGGGUGACCUACCCUCGAGUGGGGAAUAACCCGCCGAAAGGCGGGCUAAUGCCGCGUACGCUUCCGUCCUCACGGGGACGGAAGGAAAGCUGUACCGUGGGUACGGCGCUCAAGGGAUGGGCUCACGUCCUAUCAGCCUGUUGGUAGGGUAACGGCCACCAAGGCUACGACGGGUAGCUGGUCUGAGAGGACGAUCAGCCACACUGGCACUGCGACACGGGCCAGACUCCUACGGGAGGCAGCAGUGAGGAAUAUUGCGCAAUGGGCGAAAGCCUGACGCAGCGACGCCGCGU
RNAcentral lists this ribosomal RNA (383 nucleotides) under uncultured bacterium. RNAcentral describes it as "bacterial SSU rRNA". It matches the Rfam family "Bacterial small subunit ribosomal RNA", at positions 29 to 402 of the family's 1533-position model. The record is from RNAcentral.